Molecule: ribosomal RNA, 789 nt
Filed under: uncultured Methanomicrobiales archaeon
Lineage: Archaea; Methanobacteriati; Methanobacteriota; Methanomicrobia; Methanomicrobiales
Description: bacterial SSU rRNA
Rfam family: Archaeal small subunit ribosomal RNA
Source: RNAcentral
ACKGCUCAGUAACACGUGGACAACCUACCCUCAGCACGGGGAUAAACCCGGGAAACUGGGUAUAAUACCCGAUAGUUCUGGGAUGCUGGAAUGCUUCCAGGACGAAAGCUCCGGCGACUGAGGAUGGGUCUGCGGCCUAUCAGGUAGUAGUGGGUGUAAUGUACCUACUAGCCUACGACGGGUACGGGUCGUGAGAGCGAGAGCCCGGAGAUGGAUUCUGAGACACGAAUCCAGGCCCUACGGGGCGCAGCAGGCGCGAAAACUUUACAAUGCGGGAAACCGUGAUAAGGGAACUCCGAGUGCCCGUAAAAUCGGGCUGUCCAUCUGUUUAAAUAACAGGUGAAGAAAGGGCCGGGCAAGACCGGUGCCAGCCGCCGCGGUAAUACCGGCGGCUCGAGUGGUGGCCACUAUUACUGGGCUUAAAGCGUUCGUAGCUGGUUUGUUAAGUCUCUGGGGAAAUCUGCCGGCUCAACCGGCAGGCGUUCCAGGGAUACUGGCAGACUAGGGACCGGGAGAGGUGAGGGGUACUCCAGGGGUAGGAGUGAAAUCCUGUAAUCCUUGGGGGACCACCUGUGGCGAAGGCGCCUCACCAGAACGGCUCCGACAGUGAGGGACGAAAGCUGGGGGAGCAAACCGGAUUAGAUACCCGGGUAGUCCCAGCCGUAAACGAUGCGCGUUAGGUGUAUCGGUGACCACGAGUCACCGAGGUGCCGAAGAGAAAUCGUGAAACGUGCCGCCUGGGAAGUACGGUCGCAAGGCUGAAACUUAAAGGAAUUGGCGGGGGAGCAC